GGUGCACGGUCCAUCUCUGCCCUGUGUCUGGGAGCUGGGUCUGUCUGCUUUUGCAUUCAGACCUCACCGUUCACACAAGCAGUCAUAGCCACAGAGCGCCUUGGCCCCAGCCCUGGCGUAGUGCCGUCUCUGUGGGCAGGUCUACCGGCACCAGCUUCACAGUCCUGCACACAG
RNAcentral lists this small nucleolar RNA (174 nucleotides) under Tupaia belangeri (northern tree shrew). Its description in RNAcentral is "Small nucleolar RNA SNORA23 (ENSTBEG00000020561.1)". Lineage: Eukaryota; Metazoa; Chordata; Mammalia; Scandentia; Tupaiidae. The record is from RNAcentral.